AGCACACGAGCAUCUCCUCUCUCUCUCCCCGACCUCUCCUCUUAUCCGACCUGGCUGUGUUACCCUCACCCUAGUGCGCCGCCGCCCCCAGCCACUACCGGCGCAAACAUCAAGCCACGACUCAAUCUCUCGAUCUCGGCCACCGCAAGGCAUAGGCAUCGAACGGGGGGCAAUGAAUUUACUUCAAACUUGCUCCAUGUUAUAGGCAUCGGGUUGCCGUCGUGGCCCGCCGGCUGCCGGACGGUCGGAGCAUCCCAAUCUCGUAAGACGAGUUAUGGAGGGGAUGACCUUAAACGGCCAUCGACGCGUUCUACCCACUGGCCAAUUUGGUUGGGAUGAACAAGGGCUGGUCCUCCAGCACUCGCAAUUCUGCUUGCCCCGUUCAGCGUCAAGGAGAGGGGAGAGACAUACGGGCUGGGAGUUCUGGAUUUGAUGUCGUCACACUGAUCAAUUCCACCAUGCCAGACGAGAAUCAUGUCGCCAUCGAUGCCUUCCACAGUCCAGAAGGACUCUAGGAACAGCACCUCGGCUGGCUCGCCAUGUCUCCCAGUGGUUCGCCUUGUGCCUCCGGCAGACCAUUAGGACCUAAGGAAGAGCACCUCGCCUGACUCGCCAUGUGUCCCGGUGGCCCUUACCUCUGCACUGGCAUAUGGUGGUCUCUUCCUUCUUGAUGUUCAAUUCAUAAGCAUGAUCAUGUUGUGUGAUAGCGUGUACAUUUGCUCGGAAGAAAUAGGUGUCUGCUUAUUUCCUUUGUUUAGGUGUUCUUCUUUGUUUUGUUACUCCUACAUCCAUAUGCCACCAAGAGAUUACGCUAUAUGCUGGCUAUGGGACAGGUAGUUAGUUCACGUGGACUGCCAUACCCCAUACCUUCAUGUUUUAGUAUCUAUAUAUGCAUUAAGGAUAUACAAUUGUUCACUUUGUGUUUCUCUAUCA
Molecule: long non-coding RNA, 933 nt
Organism: Triticum aestivum (bread wheat)
Lineage: Eukaryota; Viridiplantae; Streptophyta; Magnoliopsida; Poales; Poaceae
Exons: 2
Source: RefSeq, a predicted model, not a curated record